Molecule: ribosomal RNA, 255 nt
Filed under: uncultured Lactobacillus sp.
Lineage: Bacteria; Bacillati; Bacillota; Bacilli; Lactobacillales; Lactobacillaceae
Description: partial 16S ribosomal RNA
Rfam family: Bacterial small subunit ribosomal RNA
Source: RNAcentral
UAGCAUAGCCGAGUUGAGAGACUGAUCGGCCACAUUGGGACUGAGACACGGCCCAAACUCCUACGGGAGGCAGCAGUAGGGAAUCUUCCACAAUGGACGCAAGUCUGAUGGAGCAACGCCGCGUGAGUGAAGAAGGGUUUCGGCUCGUAAAGCUCUGUUGUUGGUGAAGAAGGACAGGGGUAGUAACUGACCUUUGUUUGACGGUAAUCAAUUAGAAAGUCACGGGCUAACUACGUGUCCAGCAGCCGCGGUAAU